This 568-nucleotide long non-coding RNA is filed under the name Zalophus californianus (California sea lion). Its description in RNAcentral is "lncRNA (ENSZCAG00015013399.1)". The record is from RNAcentral. Lineage: Eukaryota; Metazoa; Chordata; Mammalia; Carnivora; Otariidae.
GGGGGAAGAGCGGGCGGGCGCCGGGGGCGAGGGCCGGAGGAGGGGGCCCGGGGCGCGCGGGGCGCGCGGGGCGGCGGGUAGCUAGGAGACCCGCACGCCGCUGAUACUUGAAGCGCUGCCCGGAGGAGCUGACGGCGGCCGCUCCCUGUGUCCCUGCUCGGGACUCGGACCUCGCGCGCAAGGGAGGAGAAGCAGGGCCAGGACCUUUAGGGUUGGGUCUUAACCAACUCAGAGGAAGAGCAGUGGAGCGUGGGAUCCUCCAUCUCUCAUGUGAGCAUUUCUUUGGCUCUUUGAUUUCUUAUGGUCUCUUCCCCUCCCUCGACUCCUCCCCAUUUUUCCUUCAUACAAAAAAAAAAAAUUUUUUUUUAAAAGAUUUUGUUUAUUUAUUUGACAGAGAGACACAGUGAGAGAAGGAACGCAAGCAGGGGGAGUGGCAGAGGGAGAAGCAGGCUUCCCGCGGAGCAGGGAGCCUGAUGCGGGACUCGAUCCCAGGACCCCGGGAUCACGACCCGAGCCGAAGGCAGAUGCCCAAUGACUGAGCCACCCAGGCGCCCCCUCAAAAAAUUUU